Molecule: non-coding RNA, 435 nt
Organism: Lupinus albus (white lupine)
Lineage: Eukaryota; Viridiplantae; Streptophyta; Magnoliopsida; Fabales; Fabaceae
Source: the annotation of a GenBank genome assembly
UUCCCCUUUCCCCUUUCCCCUUUUCCUUUUCCUUCUCAUCUUAUUUCACGGCUUCUUCUUUCCCCUUUCCCUUCCAUUUCAUUUUAUCACAUAUUCACGUCCCUUUCUCCCAUCCUCUCCACUUUCUUGUUAUUUUCUCAACAUCUUCCACUCUCCUCUCUCAAGCUACUCAACUCUCAUCUCCCACAGCCAACAUAUCUAAAUCAUCUAAUCUAUCUUAGAUUCUCAGAAGAAGAAAAAAAGAAAUACAAAAGGGAUGAAUGGUUUUACUUGGUGUUUACCUUGUCGAUCUGCUUUAAAGUUGUUCGUUGUGGUGAUGGGUGGAUGUUGGAUUGCUGGAAGGAUCUCUUAGAGUUUGGAGGACGUGAAAUUAGCAAGAAGGAAGAAAGAAGUUGUGAUCCUAAGGUUGGAGGAAAUCGCGGAGGAGACUUUUAA